GAUGAAGAACGUAGCGAAAUGCGAUAAGUAAUGUGAAUUGCAGAAUUCAGUGAACCAUCGAAUCUUUGAACGCACAUCGCGCCCGGCAGUAAUCUGCCGGGCAUGCCUGUCCGAGCGUCAUUUCUACCCUCGAGCGAGUCCAGCAUCUAGGUGCUGGGCCUCGCCCGGCGUUGGAGCACUACGGGAAGCCCUGUGCUGUCCCCCGUAGGCCCCGAAAUGAAGUGGCGGUCCUGCCGCGGCGCCCCCUGCGUAGUAUAACAGCUCGCUUCGGGACCCGGUGGAGGCCUGCCGUCAAACCUAUACUCUCUAAGUUUGACCUCGGAUCAGGUAGGGUUACCCGCUGAACUUAAGCAUAUCAAUAAGCGGAGGA
Molecule: unclassified non-coding RNA, 370 nt
Filed under: soil metagenome
Description: partial contains 5.8S ribosomal RNA, internal transcribed spacer 2, and large subunit ribosomal RNA
Rfam family: 5.8S ribosomal RNA (bases 1-120)
Source: RNAcentral